AAGGGCAAGCGCUUGGCGUUCC
This 22-nucleotide unclassified non-coding RNA is filed under the name Chlamydomonas reinhardtii. RNAcentral describes it as "small RNA Cre_0132". Lineage: Eukaryota; Viridiplantae; Chlorophyta; Chlorophyceae; Chlamydomonadales; Chlamydomonadaceae. The record is from RNAcentral.